GACGAACGCUGGCGGCGUGCCUAAUACAUGCAAGUCGAACGCUUUUUCUUUCACCGGAGCUUGCUCCACCGAAAGAAAAAGAGUGGCGAACGGGUGAGUAACAAGUGGGUAACCUGCCCAUCAGAAGGGGAUAACACUUGGAAACAGGUGCUAAUACCGUAUAACACUAUUUUCCGCAUGGAAGAAAGUUGAAAGGCGCUUUUGCGUCACUGAUGGAUGGACCCGCGGUGCAUUAGCUAGUUGGUGAGGUAACGGCUCACCAAGGUAACGAUGAAUAGCCGCCCUGGGAGGGUGAUCGGCCAGACUGGGACUGAGACACGGCCAGGACUCCGACGGGAAGUAGCAGUAGGGAAUCUUCGGCAAAGGACGAAAGUCUGACCGAGCAACGCGGCGUGAUUGAAGAAGGUUUUCGGAUCGUAAAACUCUGUUGUUAGAGAAGAACAAGGAUGAGAGUAAAACGUUCAUCCCUUGACGGUAUCUAACCAGAAAGCCACGGCUAACUACGUGCCAGCAGCCGCCGUAA
RNAcentral lists this ribosomal RNA (523 nucleotides) under uncultured bacterium. RNAcentral describes it as "partial 16S ribosomal RNA". It matches the Rfam family "Bacterial small subunit ribosomal RNA", at positions 28 to 523 of the family's 1533-position model. The record is from RNAcentral.